UAAAAAACAGUUGAACUUAAGGAUGCCGGCUUCAUGCAUUUAGUCAGCCAUAGACCUAUAACCAACACAGUGUUAUUUCAUGUGGAUUCAUUACAGUGGCUAUGAAUGUAUGUAGUUAGCACUGAGUCCUACGGAGAUGUAAAGCAAAGUCCAGAAGUAAUCCCAAGGAUAGCGCAAAAUAGAGAAGAAACCCAACAGAAGAAGGAGGCAUCCUUGCCCAAAGAUGAACUUUGGUUGAUUGAGGAAAACGAAUUAAGUUCCGAAGAACUGUGCCGAGCUUCGACUCUGAUUCAGCCUAGUCAGCCCGCAGCAUGGUGUUGUUGCCUACCCUCAGAGUGCCUCUGUGCAGAUAAGGAACCGCAAGGGGAGGGGGAAGGGGGAAAAAGCCGAGCUAACUCCUCCACUGAACACAUGAGGCAUUGCCACUCCUCUGACAGCUCACUCUGCCUUGCACCACUCCUGCCUGCCGGCUAUCCUUGUGAAGGAAGGACAGAGGGAAAGGGCUGGCGGCGUUGGGGCUUCGAGUCCAGUGACAGAUCAACAAGGCUACCUGUCAAACUGCUGGAACUAAUGCACUGCAGCUGCUGGAGUGACUCCUGAUUAUGUGUACACACAAAAGGUGCCGGGAGAAGGACGGAUUAAACAUUGCCGGAGAGCAACUCCUUCCUGCUAGUUUCUUCCUGGUUUGUAUCUCAAAUUGGCUGAAAUUAAUGUGACCCAUAUUCCUUCUGAGUUAAAAAUAUCUCUCCAAAAGGACACAUGUAAGUCUGGAGGAGUUCCAAACUCUUCAUUUUCAUUGAUAAAUUAAAUAUGCUAGAAUCAUGUUUGCCAAAAGCUACCUCUGUUUUCCCUGUUUUGUUUCGCUCACAUGAUCCUCCAUCAAGAUAAUAUACAACCAUCCAGAAAUACUGAGGCUUGAAAAUGCUUUCCACUUAGAAGCUAUUUCUGCCUUUGCCCCCAGUAGUAAUAACACAAUGUACAGUUUGUGUUGCAGCUUACAAUUAUCUCCUGCAAAUACAGAUAACAACAACACCUUGCCACAGAAUAUAAUUAACUGAUUAGUUCUUUGUGAGAUUAGAUGAAGUACUUCCUUCCAAAAUGUUUGAACUACUUGUACUCUAACCACAAAUGUAAGCUCUUCAGAGGCAGUUUUGCCAUACAGAAAUCGAACCAAGAAAUGGCCUGGGCUUUUGGUGGAAGGGUCCCAUGGAAAACAAUGGGGUGGGAGAGAAGGGGAGAGAAGAGAGAACAUGAAUAAUUUCUGCAGAGAAACCUGCCGGGUAGAAAACAGCUAAUGAUGAGGGAUUUGAAUCUACUUUCCAAGAAGGAAAGGUUAACAUUAUGUUUUGCAGACUGUGUCUGAAUGGUACACAUUGCCAUCAAUCUAACUUCAGGAGUCUCUCAGAGGAGUAAUGACAGAAUUGACCAGCUUGGGAGAAGUAUCAAACGUAAGUUAAGUGUGAAAGGAGAGAGGAGGGUAGUAUGUCAGGGAUGAGUUAAACCUACUUUGAGCAUUAUGUGGAGAGAGGGGAAACGAGGCUUUUUUGCUUGGUCUCUGAAUCAGCAAAUUCUAUCUAAAUUGGGCAGGCUGAGUCACAAUAGCUACAAAGUCAAAGAGUAUAUUUGCUUAGAAACCAUGGCAAAGAAUCGAAUGGUUUCCACAAAAGAAUUAGAUCAAUAAAAGAUGAUAUCUGUAAUCUCCAGGUGAUAAUGUUAAACUCUAUCUCCAUUCACAAUCAUUUUGUGACUGGUAGACAGUAAUCUCCAGUCUUCUUAAAUGGGAAUGUCCAGGCUAAACAUCAGACAAUUUUUAGUUUAUACAGAAGACAAGCAAGGGAAAUAUAAAUUUGUUCUAGAACAGGCUUAUUUUGGCUGCCAGGUUUUAAAGCCUAGUAAUAUAGUUGUGGAGCAUAGAGUAUAGAGGUUUUAUAUAGAGAAACAAUAGCAUUUGCUGUUUCAAAAGGUAGUAUUAAUCCAGGUUUACAUAGCUUUAAAAGAGAGUUAGAUGACUUUGGGGAGGGGAGGGGUAUAUAAUAGUGAUGGGGAACAUUUGGUCAUCCAGAUAUUUUGACUCCAGCUCACAAGAUCCUUUCCCAUUGGCCACCAUGGGGGGUGGGGGCUGAUGGGAGGUCUAGGCCAAAUACCUGGAGGGCCACAGUUCAUCUCGCCUCAGAGUUAGGGUGCAAUAUUGGAAAUUGGAGGGGGUCCAGGUUCUAGAUUUAAAUGAGCAUGGGAAAUCAAUGGGUGAUUUUAAGCCAAUCUCUAUCUCCUUUUUCCAUGUAUCAAUGUAUCUCCUUUUCUGUUUUCCUUCACGUCUGUUGUGAGGUUAAAACACUGGGAAGAAGGGCCAUAUAUGUAAUUUUGAGCUCAUCAGGGGAAAGAUGGAAUACUCUAUUAAAAAUAUGAAAUAAGCAAUACAUUAGCUAUGCUAACUGGAUGAAACAUGUAUGUUACUGAAUGCUAGUUCGGAGCAUCCAUGGAAAAAUGUCACGAUCUUUAAGUCAUAUUUAUGAGCUUCCUGGAGUCAUCUGAUUGGCUAUUCUGGCAGAAUAAAGAUCUAAUUUUUCAUCUGAUUCAGGAGGGCUCAUUUGAUGUUCUUUCUUGGCCUAUGGGCAAGCUUGAAAAACAUUGUUUGGUCUCCCAAAAUACUCCAACCAACACUGUUAUUGAUCAUGAUGGCUGGAGUAGAAGAGUCUGGGAGUUUUGAUAUAAAAAUUAAUGUUUCCUCCUAGUAUUGUCAAUGAGGCAGUGAUGCAAUGCACUGGGAUUUCUUUUAACAUAACAAAGGAGGCUUCGACAAAAACAUACUAAUUUUUCUAUAUUAAAAUAUUUUGUGCCUACUAUACCCUCCCCGUACAAAACAAAAUAGUCUUGCUGCAGUUCCCAGAAGAACAUAAAAGCCAGGAUUAUAAGUGCAGUCAUCUAAUCAGAUAUUGUUAAUUCCAAGAUGGUAGCUUCCUGUUACCAUUAACUAUUUCUUAAAUUGUACAAUUAUUGUUUUAAAAUGGCUCAAAGUAAUUAAGUUAGUGUAAUCACAUGUCUCCUGCUCUUUAAACUGUUAUUAGAUCUCCUCCUGAAUAAGAGAUCCAUCUUUGCUCAAAGCAAUUAAAUAAAGGGCAACCUUCAACUAAAUCGUUCCUUAUUUUCUGGAUGGGGAAAUAUAUAUUUUAGUAAAGGAGCCUGAAUGAAACUCCAAAGGGAAAAUUUGUACACAGGUUUUGCAUUUUCAGAUGUAGACAUACAUAACAAUGAACUCACAAAUGUUAUAAAUGUAAAGCACAGUCCAUACAAACAUAUCAUUGUAUCUGUGAAAAGCCUUGUUCAUUACUGCUAGUGGCAAAAUUUAUAUAGGAUAUUCUAUUCAUGAAAAAGGGUUGCAUUUGCAAUGGAUCUCCUGGCAUUGCAUCUAGUUUGUUUCUUGGUUGGCUUAGCAUCUUUCCAGAACAAACAAAAUGAUGAGGUCCCACAGAGUAGUUCUGUAAAGUAGAACAAUUAUUGGAGUACCCCCUAAUGUACUCCAAAUCAGGUGGUUUUUAAAGAUUCUGUGGCACUAUCUUUGAGAUGAUACUGAAGACUACAAGAGGGAAGGAAAACAAGGAUGUUCUGCUGAGCAAGUGGGCCUCUCCUAAUGUGACGGCAAAAGCAGACCAAACAUCUUUUAUUUAAAGUGGGAAGAAUGUGAGGGACAAUGGGCAUAAAAAGAUACUUAGCUGAGACUGGAUUGUGCUUAUUGCUACAGCUGUUGCUGCUACAGCAAGAGGGACUUUUAACAAGAACUUUCUAAAAUAUAUGUUUCUAUUUCCCACUUGCUAAUAGCAAAGCCAUGCCAGCUUCAAAGAUUGCAAAAUAAAAGAAACUGCCAAGGUUAUUGACACAGUGCUUUCCACUCUUCUCAUGCAUCCACCCAGGCCUGGCAUUGUGGAGACUGUCCUCAUUGGGCUAUUGGGUGUAUGGGUUAUCACUUUACUUCUUAUUCAGUUUCUCAAGCCUCAGAUUUUUCAAAUAAGUGCAUAUUUCUCACUUGCUUCUCAACUAUCCUAUUUUAACUUUCUUUCAUUUGGAAUCUUGUCAAUUAAGGAUGAUUAUUAAUUUUUUAGGACUUUUUAAUUCUUUAAUGGUUAAUCCAUAUGCUCAAAUCCAUAUGCCCAAAAGGUUAUACAUGAGGCUAGUCCUUGGAAAAAAACUUUUCUAGAUGGUAUUGCCCAGAAUUUCAUAGCCAGCAUGGCCAGAAGCAACACUGACUAAUGAAUUAUGGGAGCUGCAAUAAAAAGUAACUACUUAGGCUUUUCCAGAUGCUUUUAAUAACUGUAGGUGCCCAUGUUUAUCAGAUUGCUUUAGUUGCAUAGAUUAACUACAGUUACACCAUCAUCUAGGUCAGAGUUUCUCAAACUGUGCUCCUCCACCAAAUGUUUUGGACUUCAACUCCUACAAUUCCUGCUGCUAAACUGACUGGAAUUUUUGAGAGCUGAAGUUUGAAAUACGUGGAGGAACAGAGUUUGUGAAACACUGAUCUAGAUAAUUCAGAUAACCAAAGGAACCAUCUAUACCAGCUUUCCACACUCUCCAUUCACUUCUGUGAGCACGCUCCCCAUCAGCUCCAUAUAGCACAGCCAAUGGUCAUGAAUGGACAUCGCUGUCUAAAACAUAUAUGGCCCACAAAUUGCUGCCAUCAAUGAAAACCUUUUAAAACAAAUUUAUUUUUUAUUUUAUUUAUUUACAGCAUUUAUAUUCUGCCCUUCUCACCCCGAAGGGGACUCAGGGCGGAUCACAUUACACAUAUAGGCAAACAUUCAAUGCCUUUUAACAUAGAACAAAGACAAGACAAACAUAGGCUCCGAGCGGGCCUUGAACUCAUGACCUCCUGGUCAGAGUGAUUCAUUGCAGCUGGUUACAGCUGGCUUGCUCUCCAGCCUGCGCCACAGCCCGAGCCUUAAAAUUGCCUUUUAUUUAAAACAAUCCUGUUGGCAGUUUCUGUAAUGUACAGACUACGGGUGCAUACUUAAAAUAAUAACAACAUAAAAAUGCGUGAGGCUUGAUUAACUCUAGGUCAAAGUUUACCCAGUAAAGUAUUAUUACUGUACACUAAAUGGAUCCUGUGUAAAUAGAUAUUGAAAUAUAUUUUCUCAUUAGGUUUAAAAGGAUAUAUUUACUAAAUAUGCAAAUAAGCUUUUGAAUUUAGACUGAGACCUCAUAAUUACCUCCAAUCUUCAGGCCAGGGAAAGUAUAGUCAUAGAUAAAAAAUAAAAUGGAAUAGAUUUAUGUUUUAAUUAAAAAUAUCUUGUUGUCAUUUCUGCUGGGGUUUUGAAAAGUUUGUGUUUGAACAUAAGUACCUACUCCAUGUUAUAUUCAUUUAUUUAUUUUAAUGGGACAAGUCUGUGAUUUCUAUUUGAGUAUGUCGGAAUGUCUGGCCUAACAUAAUUAAUCACUGCUGAUCUGACAGAUUAUAAAAUCUGUGGUACACAUAACUCUUAUCUACAACUAUUUUUUAUCUGUGCUGAAAUGUUAUAGAAGGCUAUUUAACAUCUAAGCUCAAUUUACUUCUGGGCACUGAGGCUUCUGAGCUACAGAUCUAAGCCCUGUGUCCACCCUAAAAGGAAGUGAAAGUUUAACUUGAUUUUCAAGUAGUUCUAGCAUUGCAUAAUCACUACACAGCAAUUUAAACAAAGAAUGUUUACCUUAGGCUCUAAAAAAAAUCUUUGCAAUGUGAUUUGCGUAAGCAACGUUUUCUUAUUAUGCUGUUAUAUACUCUUUGCAAGCCAAACACACCAUGCAAUGAAAAUAGCUUUCAUUCAUUGUUUCCCCAAGUUAGCUUUUAACAUCCUUGCUUUCUUCUAAGACAGCAAUGCUGUUGGACCCCAAUUCCUCAAAUCAUAGCAGAAUAAUCAAUGGUUUGGAAUGACUGGAGUUAUAGUUGAAUGACUAUCCCAUCCCCAUGAUCAUUGUGUCCUUCUCUAAAGGAAAAUGUGGCUAACUGUCAUGAGCAGAUCAUCCCAGUAGAUACAAAACAAACACUUUACAUUUAUAUUCAUAGCCACCACACCUCCAAAGCCAUAAACAUUUGUUUAGUUCACAGAAUCAAUUUCUGCUCCAGUUUCUGCUUCAGAACUGCUUCUGCAUACAUAUUAACUUGGAGAAAGCAUUAUACACAUUUCAAGUAUUUGGAACAGACAUUUUCAGGGACUGAAAUAAUUUCAGCAACACUGAUAAGCAAGACCACAUAAAAUCUUGUUUUAUGCUGAUUUGCAUGGCACUUUCCCCAGAUAAUUGCAGACAAGCAUGUUUCUGGCUGGUUAUGGUGUGUAUGCCCAUGCAUUUAUAGUAUUUUGGAAAGGAUGUGCUAAAUCCAAUCAGAUUUAAUCCCAGGUAACGGUAUAGGGAGAUAAAGUGUUACUGUGAUGUGAGCGUGGAACUAUGACUCUAGAUAACAGGGUUUGAAUCCUUGCUUAGCCAUCGAAACCCACUGGGUGACCUUGGGCAAGUCACCUUUGGCAAAUUACAUUCUCUGAGCCUUAGAAGGGAGAGGCAAAUCCUUCUGAACAAAUUUUGACAAAAAAACCCAUGAGAAUUCAAUUAGGCCUCAUCUACACUGUCAUAUGAUCCAGUUUCAGAAUGUAGAUUAACUUCACUGAAUUGGAUUCUAUGGCAGUGUAGACCCAUAUGAUCCAGUUCAGUGCAGUUCAAUCUGCAUUAUAUGAGUCUAUACAGAUCAUUAUAAUGUAGUUCAAGCUGGAUUCUAUGGCAAGGUAGAUGGGGUCUUAGGGUCACCAUAAACUGAAAACCACUUGAAGGUACACAAUAAGUGCAUGCACAACCUCUUGAAGGUAAACUAAAAGACAAAAUCUACUCAUAAUUUCUACUCCAUCCUGUGUGCAGGUGAAGCAUUGGGAGGCGGAGCUUUGAGUGCUAUCCUGCUUGUCCAAACUAACAUUCUGCUCUCAUUUGAAAUAAUUUUCCACCAUUACUUGAGUUGUCUUCUGCAUGAAAAAGAGGAAACAGGCACCAUUUAACAUUCUGAUGGCAAAAGCCAGAUCUGUCAAUUAUCCCACAUCAAUCUGCAGAAUAAAGCCCUGGAUAUUAUUAUUAUUAUUUAUUCAUUUCUAUCCUGCUUUUCUCCCGUGGGUGGGAUUCAAAGUGGCAUACGGCAUAUAAAAUUCAUACAAAUACAUUGAACAGCAAUACAUAAUCAAUUAAAAUAUCACAUCUUGAUUAAAACCCAAUUAAGAUAUCAAAUAAAUCAAUUUUUUUAAAAAAACUUACAACAAGCACCAUAUUAAAGAUAUCCAUAACCUCUGGCUACUGAAGUUAUUUGUCAAUUAUUAUUUUAAAAAAUCAAACUGGCAGUGCCUAUUUUCAUUUGUCUGGGAAGGCCUGGCUCCACAGAAAGCUUUUAAUUUGCGAACAAAAGGCCAUUAAGGAUACUAUACUGUUAACUCCUGAGAAAUCUGUAUAAAGACCAAGUAGCCACAGUAAGAACAGAUCACAGAACAACAGACUGGUUCAAAAUUGGGAAAGGAGUGCGGCAGGGCUGCAUACUUUCACCCUCCCUAUUCAACUUGUACGCAGACCACAUCAUGCGACAUGCGGGGCUUGAGGAAUCCAAGGCCGGAGUUAAAAUUGCUGGAAGAAACAUUAACAACCUUAGGUAUGCAGAUGAUACCACUCUGAUGGCCGAAAGUGAAGAAGAACUGAGGAGCCUUAUCACCAAGGUGAAAGAAGAAAGUGCAAAAGCUGGGUUGCAGUUAAACAUCAAGAAAACCAAGAUCAUGGUAACUACACCUAUUGAUAACUGGCAAAUAGAAGGAGAAAACGUGGAGGCAGUGACAGACUUUAUAUUUCUAGGCGCGAAGAUCACUGCAGAUGCAGACUGCAGCCAGGAAAUCAGAAGACGUUUACUUCUUGGGAGGAGAGCAAUGGCCAACCUUGACAAAAUAGUGAAGAGCUGAGACAUCAUACUGGCAACGAAGGUCCGCAUAGUCAAAGCAAUGGUAUUCCCCAUAGUAACCUAUGGAUGCAAGAGCUGGACCAUAAGGAAGGCUGAGCGAAGGAAAAUAUAUGCUUUUGAACUUUGGUGCUGGAGGAAAAUCCUGAGAGUGCCUUGGACCGGAAGAAAAUCCAACCAGUCCAUCCUCCAGGAAAUAAUGCCCAGCUGCUCACUGGAGGGAAGGAUAUUAGAAGCAAAGCUGAAGUAUUUUGGCCACAUUAUGAGGAAACAGGAAAGCUUGGAAAAGAUCAUGAUGCUGGGGAAAAUGGAAGGAAAAAGGAAGAGAGGCCGGCCAAGGGCAAGAUGGAUGGACGGUAUCCUUGAAGUGACUUGCUUGACCUUGAAGGAACUGGGGGCGGUGACGGCUGACAGGGAGCUCUGGCGUGAACUGGUCCAUGAGGUCAUGAAGAGUCGGAGACGACUAAACGACUGACCAGCAGAGUGAUACCUCCUGUGCUUAGAUUAACAAAGGGUUAAACCUAGAAGCCCUCGGAGUUGAAAAAUUUCCCCGACUAAACGUUUCUGACUAUUUUUUCCAGCCUUUUAUAUUGAGACCACAUGACGUUUCUGUAGCUCAGCUGCUCAACUUGACUACAUAGCUGAACCGCAUGAUGUUCUCAUAGGGCAGCUAACAUCUGACUGUCGCAAGAAGGUAUAAAUCCAUCAGAAGAAAUGCUCUAUGAAUGUGUAAACUUUAAUUCAACCCUCUCGGUCUUCUUUGCGAGCUUAAUUCUUUAUCAUUUGUUUAGAUGUAGAUUUAAGUAGUUGAGUUUGUGUCUCUAAAUGCAUAAACUAAUUUAACUAGUCAAAUAGAUUGAUUAUAAAAGUUAUUUUAUGUACAUUAUUUGAUGAGGCAUUCUGGACAGCAACAAAAAGGCUGGGUGACUGCUACUUUUAUAACAUGUAAGUUAUAAUUAGUCAAAAUACAUCAUACAAGUCUUGGAACAAGUGAAAUAGCAGUUCUUAGUGUAGGAAAAUAUCCAUCAUGGACAUCAUCCACUAUGUAGAAACUUUAAUCUUCUCUGCAAUGAGACCACAAAUAUGCCUUGAUCCCCAUUGUAUUAGCUAGCAAUGAGUGUCCAAUGUCCAUUUCCAUGUUUGGUGCAAGAUGUGCAGAUCUGGUUAAUCUGUAAAAACUACCACAAUUGAGCUAGUUAACUUAACCAGAUGAGGUGGCAUAUUGAAAAUACUUAAUUUCUUCUAUGCUACUAACAUGUUACAAUCCAAAUCCUAUUUUAGGUGUUCAGAGCAGAGAUCCCAGAAAUUUCAAAAGUACUUCCCAAAUUAGACAUGCUAUUUGUGAGAUUAUACAACUUGUAGUCCAAAAACGUAACUUUCCAAGCUGUGAUCCACAGGCAUCCAUUUCAGUCAAAAACAUACAGCAAUUUCCUGCUAGCAGUUCUGGACUAUAUUUUGCAUUUAGCUUUGCAUUUGCCUUGCUUUUGGAAUUCAUAACAGCUCAGAGGUCCAAUUACAUUACUCCACCACCAGUAAAGGCCAAGAGAUAAGAGUCAUUUAAGCUAUACAGUCCCACUUGUCUUCAAACUCUUCACUAUUUAUUGUAUAUAAGAAAUUGUAGUAAAAAUGACCCCAAAAACCUGGCUUUACUUAGCCACAGGUAUCAUAACACUUAUCGAAAAAAGAACCAUCCCCUUCGCUGAAUACCUGAAGAACCUAAAGAAACACAAAGCCCUCUACUCUAUCUGCUCCAAGCAUCAGCAAGAGAAUGUUAGUGGAACCAAGACAGUGUUGGUUCUUUCCUUCCCAAUGGAAUAACAUUCUGUUUAUCAAUUCAUCAUAUCAAAAUUAUGACCCCUAAACCUUUAUGAUUUAUGCAUGAACUCAACUCAGUAAGGUAAAUUCAAAUACCUAUAUCCAAGUUGUUGUCUCAUGAAGGAUAAACCCACAAAUUAACUGCUGAAUUCAAAUUGGCACAAAUGUCUCCUAAACAAAAUACUACCAUAGCCAGAUUGAUCAACAUCAUCAUCAUCAUAAUCAUCAUCAUCAUCAUCAUCAUCAAUUCAUUUCUAUCCUGCUUUUUGCCAUAGGUGGGACUCAACACAUUCAAACUGCACAGUUAUUAUUUUUCUAUAUAAAAAGUAAUAUUAAACAAAUAAAAAUAAAACCCACCACACAAAUAUAAUCAAAACCAAGGCACUUUGUUUUAAGGUUUUUCUUUACAAAUAAAAAUGAUCACAAGGUCUUUAUCUGAUUUUUUAAAGGACAGCCUUUUAUAAAAGGACAUCCAAAUGCAACAUCUUAACAAACUAGGAAUAGAACGGAUUUUCAUCAAUUCCCAGAUGUGGUCAAAACUACAGUUCCUGAGCCAGUGGGUAUCACAAUAAACUGAAGAAGAGCUGGAAAGCCUUGAUUUCAGUAGAAGAAGGAUACAUUAUAAAUGUAACUAAACAAGUAAAAACAACAAAAACGAGAAUAUGGAUUUGUGUAAAAUGCUUGAUAUUAAGCAAUCUUUUAAGUAUGUACAUUUAUGUGUGCAGUGGUAAUAUUUAUAACCUUUGCAGUGUUCCCUCACUUAUUGUGGGGGUUAUGUUCCAGGACCAUCUGCGAUAAGUGAAAAUCUGCGAAGCAGGAACACUAUAUUUAUUCUAUGUGUGGAGGAGAGCAAACCACAGACCACUUACUACAAUGCAGUCUGUACUUUAUUUUAGCAGUUACAAUAUACAGUACACCGGCAGAGAAAAAGAAUGGAAGCUAAAUAAUAACCUUUUUUAUUUCCAACCCUUCCCUGCCCUCCCCCUCUCCCUUUAGUUCUCCCUUCCUCCUUGCCAAAACCCUUUGCACACCACAAAAAUGUGCAAAACAAUGAAAAUACCGCAAUACAUGGUAUACGUUAAUAUUUAUUGAAAACCCACAAAACAGCGAGGGCACGAAAAGCGAACAGCGAACUAGCAAGGGAACACUGUAUAACAAUCCCAUUAAUGCUACCCCUCUAUUCUGCCUUGGUCAGACCACACCUGAAAUACUGUGUCCAAUUCUGGGCACCGCAGUUGAAGAGAGAUGUUGACAAGCUGGAACGCGUCCAGAGGAGGGCGUCUAAAAUGAUUAAGGGUCUGGAGAACAAGCCCUAUGAGGAGCGGCUUAAAGAACUGGGCAUGUUUAGCCUGCAGAAGAGAAGGUUGCGAGGAGACAUGAUAGCCAUGUACAAAUAUGUGAGGGGAAGUCAUAGGGAGGAGGGAGCAAGCUUGUUUUCUGCUGCCCUGCAGACUAGGACGCAGAACAAUGGCUUCAAACUACAGGAAAGGAGAUUCCACCUGGACAUCAGGAAGAACUUCCUCACUGUGAGGGCUGUUCGGCAGUGGAACUCUCUGCCCUGGAGUGUGCUGGAGGCUCCUUCCUUGGAGGCUUUUAAGCUUAGGCUAGAUGGCCAUCUGUUGAGGGUGCUUUGAAUGCAGUUUUCCUGCUGCUUGCAGGGGCUUGGACUGGAUGGCCCAUGAUGUUUCUUCCAACUCUACACUUCUAUGAUUCUAUGAUUCAGUCACAAACCUAAGAAGGUUACUUUUGGGACUACAACUCCUAGCAUAGUUAAUGACCAUGCCCAAUGGUAGAGUCUGAGAGUUGUAAUCCAAAUAAUGUAAUGUCUCUAAGCUCUGGGAUGGUCAUAAUUAUUUCCCUGAUAUUCUGAAAUGAGCAUCUAAGGCUGGGGAAAAACAGCUUCCUUCAAGCUCACUAGUGAGACAAUGGUAAAUGAAACUUCAAACCAACAGUUUUCUGAUUCAGUGUCCUGCUCUAUAUCAAAGCCCUAAAACUGCUUGCAAACUUAGCCAGAGUCUUAAAUCAGAUGUUUAUCAGUUAUUUUCAUGAACAGCUCUAUUUUUAGACUUAACAUUUCCAAACUGCUCUUUGAAAGGGUAUUAGCAUGAAGGUCCCAUUUUUCCCAGGCACAAAUAUACAGAUCUGCUUUCAUUUUUUUAAAAGAUCAAAAAACCCCAAUGUAUCAUAUGUAUAUUUAUUAUUUAUAGAUUAUAAAUAUGCAUCAAAUGUUUUCUGAUCUCUAGAUGACAUCUCUGAAGUAUACUAUUUUGAGCAGAAUUUCAGGUCCCCCGACUUGCAUUAUUAACUUUUAUUUAAAAGUAUUUCAUUGUAAAAGGAUGAAGAAUGAUAAACCACAUGAAUAUCAUUCAUCUGCUCAUCUUCUCAUCCAUACACCCUUCCUUCCUUCCUUCCUGCUUUCCUGAUUCAGGGCAAAUAUUUUCCAAAUAUGAGUUCAUAGAGCGAAAAGGGUUUUCCAGAUACAGAUGAUAACUAUGACAUGUUUUUUUUAAUCUCCUGUAUUUUCUGAAUGCCAAUCUCAGAGACCCUUCCAGUUUCUCAGCUUUGUAAACACAGUUCAGCUAAUAAUCACCAAAGGCUUCAUUCCCAAAAACAUAUUCACAAAAAUUAUUUAGUAAAUUACAGUAUUAAUUGAAGAUUUGCACGGAUGACAAUCUAAUGAAUGAACAAGGGAUGCUGUGUUAACUGCCUUUUUGUCUAUUUCAAAACAUAUAAAGCAGACCUAAUGGAGGAGGUGUUCUGUUUAUAUGAAACAUAGUGUAUGAGAUAGAGGAAAGAAACCUGCCUGUCUUACCUGAGAGUCUAGGUCUGAUGCUGGACAUAAGCCAGUCUAGGGAACCAAAGAAGUGCUGACUGGUGAGGUGUGAAAAGGGAAUGUUUUGCUUCCCUCUUCAUCAGUUUGUCUGAAGACUCCAUAUAGUAGACACACGUGUGGCUGCUAUAAUAUUUUCUUUUUGCCUUCGGGUUUCAGGAAUAGAAUACACACUUCAUGCUUCCAGGAAUCUGUAGGUUCUGCUUUCAGAGCAUCACAUUUUUUCUUUCAACCCCAUUUCAUCCUAUAUAUAUGUACACAUAGAGUACAGCCCACAGGCAACCCUGAAGGUUACCUACUUCAUGAACUUCUACCAGACCCUAUUGGGACUCUGUCAAGGAAAAAAGGAGAGAGAAUGGCACCUUCCAGGAGCUGAAAUUCUGAUCUAAAACAAAGGCAACUCCUGCACCUUGUUUUGGGCCAAAUUCAGUUAUUCAAAAAACAGAAAGUGAUGUUCAGAUAUGUGUGAAAUGGGUAAAUAUGAUGCCUGGACUUGUCUGAUAGAUACUAAUAAUGAACUUAGUCUUUAUGUAUAGUUUUUCAUGUAGUCAAAAUAGUGCCACCCUUCACAAUACAAAAGUAUUAGCAGGCCUAGGGGAACCACAAGGUAAAAGUACCCCCUUUAUUAUAUAAAAAACUAAGUAACAGGUUGAAUGUUUUUGGAAAUACUAUUGGAAAGGAAAACAGAAAAGCAAGGAACGGGGAGGGGGGGGAGAGAGAAAGAAAUUGGGUGGUUGGCAAAGAGCAAGGCUGGCUAGAAUUGUGAAUAAAAACACAGCACUGCAAUAUUUCAUUUCAAUCCCACUUGCAUAACAUAAUGGAUGCCCACAUUUUAGUAACUUAAAAAACUAGUGAAGUCUCAGAGAACAGAUAACACACAAAACUUGUUGUUGAUGUGGUUAUUGUAACUGUAACACAUGAAAUCUGUAGAUUCAAGGUAUAAAAAAUCUAAUUGCCCAAUAUGAAACUGUACUGAAGACACACUGUACUUGAUCCUUGAGUUUUUCUUCCUUGAACAGAAAGGAUUUAUAAAGCCCUUUGCGUAAUAACUUAAUGUAAGAGUGGAGUACAGUGCUGCAGAGUAGUUAGAAGCAAACAAAAGAGAGAAAAGCUCUCUAGUGAGUCAUUGAACUGGGCUUCUCAGUGGACAACAAAACAAGGUGAGGAGGAGACAAUGGAAGCAUACCAAGCAAGCCACAAUAUCCGGGGAUUCAAGGCUGAGUUCAAACAGAACCCCAUUCAUCGAUACAAAUCAUUUUACUUUGAAGAAGGGGGCCAGCAGAGUUGAAAACGUUGCUGAAAGGCAACUUGCACAAGCCAAAUAAAACAAAAGAACCAUCUCCUCAUUUCCAAACACAGUGUGAGUCAUUGUUAAACUUUGAACGUACACAUACAGAGCAGCAACCAUGGAAAUAAUGCAUUUUCCUGUACGGCACAAGACAAGUCAACAACUGCCUGUCUUUUUCAAGGUUUUUUUUUUAACCCAUGCCACUCAAGUGGGUGUUCUUCAGGCUGUUCUGCAAAUCAUAUUUUUUUCCAUCUACAAAGAAAGUCACGACUCAGGGGACAGUUCAACAGUCAAAAGGAAAGCUAUUGUCAUCUUGAACAGAAAAAAAAUGCACGCUUCACUAGAUGAAAGGCCCAUCGCAGGGGUAGAUUAAAAAAAAGAAGAAGAACAAGAACAUCUCAUGGAAUCCACAACAGAAAUAAGGGGAUACCACAAAGGUGCCAUGUUGGCUCAAGGAUUUGUGGAGGUGUGUUCCAAAAAUUAACUCUUCAAAGCUCUGGGGAUCAUAUGUUAGCAGUGGUGGAGCUGAAGAGAGCAAUGCAGGAGUAAGUGGCAGAAAAGACCAAUCCCCCCCCCCCCAUUAUCCUUUUCUGUUCUCCCUCUUCUUCCCCACCUGAUAUUUGGAAAAGUGCCAAGCAGCCACCUGUAUCAAUUUCAAUCCAGUCUUGCACUACUGAGUUGAAGAUACCAAUCUCCAGUCCACAUCUACCUCAUUUUGGCCACCAUCUUCCUUUCACGUUAGUCUGGGUUGAAUGACAGAGAGAUUGCUUUUUAUGCAGGAAUCAUAGAAUCAAAGGAACAGAAGGGGGUUCAUGGGCCAUCAAGCCCAACUCACUGCUCAGUGCAGAAUCUCCACCUAAAGCAUCUGCAGCUGAUGGCUAUCCAGUCUUUUUUUACCGAAGGCUAGAAAGGGAGAUCCCACCCCCUCUCUAGGCUAUUGAUCCUGUUGCCAAAUCACUUUCAUUGUCAAGAUGCCUCUUCUAAUGUUCAAUUGAAAGUUACUCUCCUGUAACUUCAAACUACAGUAGAGUCUCACUUAUCCAACAAUCACUUAUCCAACAUUCUGGAUUAUCCAAUGAAUUUUUGUAGUCAAUGUUUUCAAUAUAUCGUGAUAUUUUGGUGCUAAAUUCGUAAAUACAGUAAUUACUACAUAGCAUUAAUGUGUAAUGAACUACUUUUUCUGUCAAAUUUGUUGUAUAACAUGAUGUUUUGGUGCUUAAUUUAUAAAAUCAUAAUCUAUUUUGAUGUUUAAUAGGCUUUUUCUUAAUCUCUCCUUAUUAUCCAACAUAUUCGCUUAUCCAACGUUCUGCCAGCCCGUUUAUGUUGUCUACUGUAUUAGAUCUGGCCCUAUCAUCUGGGGCAGUGGAAAACAGAUCUGUCGGUUCUCUCUGUGAGAGCCUUGAGAGCGCACUGAUAUCAUUCCUCAAAAAGGGUUGUGAACUUACUCUGAUUUUUUCUCAUUCAAGAUUAUUCCUUGAAUGACAAAAAAUUCAAUUGCUUCACCCAUUGAGAGAAGCAAUGGAAUACGUCAUCAUCUAAACCCUUGUAAAAUUCAGUGGAUGAGGCAGAGAGAGGGCAUGAUAAAACUGCAAGUGCCUGCUCAUUUUCUAUUUAAAUGACUAUAAUUACUUCUGAAUUUGCAUCUCCAAAUAGACAUUAACAUAUGCAAACUGCUAUCCAGUAUCUGUUGCUACUAUUUGUUGUGGAAAGCUGCACUUUUUUCCUGAUUCUAUGUAGCCUCACUUUUUUAAAAAAUUGCCUUUUUGAAAGAAGAAGAAUCUUCCAUAUGCAACACAGAUGCUGAGGUUUCUAAGGGUGGUACAUUUCAGUGCUUUUGCAGCCAUCUGCUCGCAAUGUUGACUGUGACAUUAGCUACAGGGUGUCCAAUCGCCUCACUUUCCUCCCAAUUUGGCUUUUGUUUCCAGUUGUACUCCACAAAAGAACCAAUAUGUACUGCCCUUAUAAACUAUGCUAUUUGAGGGUUUUUGAAAUAGUAUAAGGAAAAUAUUGCAGAGUUUAGAAGGAGAGGUAACAAGGAGCAAGUAAACUGCAGAGAGUGGUGCAGUAGGAAUUACUCAAAACAACCAUUUCUCAAUUAGAGCACCCUGAAGGUAUCUUGAGCCAGCUCUGACCUGCCCAAUCUUCUCCACCAUUGGUAGAGAUGAAGAGAGACAGCGUUUUCUCAGUUAUUAUGUCCAGACCCUGGAAUGCUACCCCCAGCAAAGUUUGUCUGCUUACUUUCUGGCGCCAGAUGUCAACCUUUUUAUUUACCCAAGACCUUUAGAUUUGGUUUUAAUGUGGUUUUAUUGCAAAAUUAUUAUUUGUUUGACGUUUAUUGUUUUAUUGACACUGUUAUUUUUAUUACCUCUACUGAUCUUAUAGAAGCUGCUCUGGGGCACUGGGUGACAGAAGAGGAAGGUUAAAAUGUCUUCUGAUCAAACACAGGCACAUUCUCCACAGAAAAGGAUUCCAAGGCAUGUUUCAGUGGCCAAUUUCUCUUUUCUAUACAUUAUUAAAUAUUUAGGAUUCCUGAUCAGACAAUCAAACUUUGCCAUCAUUGAUCAACAUUACCGUUUUGUUACUAUUAGUUAUGUUUAUGUUCAACCCUUCCUCCAAAUUAUUUUAAGGCAGUAGUUCUCAACCUGUGGGUCCCCAGGUGUUUUGGUCUACAACUACAAGAAAGCCCAGCCAGUUUGCCAGCUGUUAGGAAUUCUGGGAGUUGAAGGCUAAAACAUCUGGGGACCCACAGGUUGAGAACCACUGCCUUAAGGCAUCACACAGGAUCUUCUUCUCCUCGCCCCAAAUUUGUGAGAUAGAUUUAGUUGAAAGAUAAUGACAAGUAAGGAUUUGAAUUUGAGUUUACCUAAUCUCCCUAGUCUAACAUUCUAACUGUUAUACCACAAAGUCUUGCAACAAAGGAGUUGAAGCUCUUUAGACCAACUGAAGUUUCUAAGCACUUGCCUAUGUUAGAUCUUAGCCUGUUUCUGGUCAGAAUCACUCUGAGUUUUCUUCCACUGUCGCUCUAGUCCCUGUCUCAUGUGUUUCACUUUUGCCAGUUCCUUAGUAAACCAAGAGGAUGGUUUAGCUCCACUUUGUGACAAGGGACACUUCGGAAAAAUUGUGCCUACUUCCCCAUCCAGAGAUCGGCCAGGGCUUCAACAGGAUCACCUGCCAGCUAGUGGAAAAAUUCCUAAGAGCAAUCAAGAAUCCAUCUAGAUCCAUAAGUCUCCUGGAGCAGACCAUCUUAAUCGCCCCCCACUCCCACCCCAUCUCACUUGAGGAAACAGGAACAGUAAACUAGUUUACUUGCUUCUAUCCAGAAAGAAGAUGAAAAACAGAGCGAAAGUUAUGCUCUUGUGCCAUAAAAAUUAUGAAAGAAGGGGGAUACUGACAAUGUAAAUACAUAGACCUCAGGAGAGUCUUUGUAAAUUGAAGCAAUAAAUCAAUACAUGGGUCCCACCCAUGGCACCUUACUAAAAAAAAAAAAAACACCUCCUCAAAUCUGGACAGAGUUUGAUGAAAGGCCCUUCAAACUGGAUAGAGUUUAUGUCUUUGUACAGUGAUUGGAGAUGGUGGAUAACUGCCCUGCGAUUCUGAAAACUGCAGUCCAAAAUUGAACUUUUCCAGGUUCUGGAAAUUGAAACUGGCACCCAUUAUGUAGAACUAGUCACUUUGAUCAGGAAGAUAAAAUGUGGGUUGGCACAGACUAGUUGUAAGUCAGUACUCAAGCUGCGACAAUUUGUUUUCAUAGUACAGCUUGUAUUAAGUCUGUAUCUCUUGGAACACCACUUUAUGGGCACAGUGUCCUACAAACAGAGGGCUAUUGCUCCUUCAGCAUAGGUUUGCCUCUUGCCAACUGAGACUUUAAAUCUCUAAUACAAUAAGGUUCCUCCUGUUUGCCAAAUUCUGCCUGUUGUGGCAAGCAGGUCUCCAGGUGGAACAUCAGUUGAUGAUAGGUCUGGGGAGGGAAUAAGUGAGAGCAGUUAUAGCUGCCUUGUCUCCUGCUACACUGGCAGGUUGAAAUGAUGUGUCAUCAGGUGUGUGUUUCUGAUUCAUCAAACUAAUUUGGCAUUAGAAUGGUAGUUUAAAAAGUAUGCAAUGAAACAUUUACGGGACAUCCUAUAGUACACAGAGAUAAAAACACUAAUGAUAAUAAUUUUAAUGCAAAGAUUAGGAUGGUUACAUGUUCACAAAUUAGUACAACUAGUAAGUGGAAGGAGCAUAUAAUGUUACUGCCAAAGAAGUGUAUACAGUAUACAGAAGUUUUAUCCAUUAAUAUCCAACUCAAAAGGAAAAGACCCAGCUAUAUCAGAUAUAGAGGAAUAGAUAAAGAAUCCUUGGACAUGAUCCUAAAAGGUAAAAUAACAUUAAAAAUGGAGCACAAAUAAAGAAUAUCUGUGUACAUGUUGUGAAUUAAUUGAUAAUAUGUCUGAAGAAGCUGCUACUCAGAAGAUGCAAUUGCUGUUUUAUCCCUUUCUCUUUUGUUUUUACUUCUUUUAUAACUGACCUGUGUCUGACUGUUUUGUUGCAGAGUAUGUCUGUUUUAUCAAUUUGUACAUGACGUUGAACUACAGCUUGUCCUGAGUGGUCUCUUUAAUCCUGUCAUUCUGUGUGUAUAAUGUUUUGACAGAUAGAUCAAGGUCAAAUUAGAGGUAUUGGGUCCUAUAGAUAGUUUCCUGCUUGGGUUUGGGAAGGUAAGGGCAAUGGGUUUGCAGCCUCGGGUAAACAAUGAGCUGUAGAACAAUAAAGGCUGCUUCUAAGAUUUGUCUGAAUUUAAAUUGCUACUUGGAUGACUCUUAUAUCUCUAAAUACAACUAUGUGGAUGUUAUUGUUC
Long non-coding RNA from Anolis carolinensis (green anole), 18706 nucleotides. RefSeq lists it as uncharacterized. The record is from RefSeq and is a predicted model, not a curated record. The transcript is spliced from 3 exons. Lineage: Eukaryota; Metazoa; Chordata; Lepidosauria; Squamata; Anolidae.